AUGGGGCUUCUUGAAAGAGACGGAGCUUGCCAGUGGUCGCGGAAAUCCUUUUGCCGAGGCCUCCCUUUCCAAGGUGGCAGGAGAUUUGGAGCCCUCAUCUUGAUUUCUCGAGCUUUUCUCCGUGGAUACCCCAGCUUCCUCCCCCCUGAGGAGGAGAGACAGAUGGAAGAUUCUGAGGCCGGAGACGGGACAUCUCGCCGGGGCUUCGUGAUCUUGUCGAGUGACGACGAAGUGGGUGAGAAUUUCCCCGGAGCUUCUCGGGACACAGCAGAUGCGGAAGUCAGGGGCGCAGGAGCGCGCUCCUCCAGCCGACCGAAACACAUACCGGCGGCUUCAGCGCUCCUGGCGGCUGUCGAGGUACCCGUGGCGCGUUGGUUCGCGAGGGACCAGAUCCCGAAGAGGAAAAAGAGGAGCGGCGGAAGCGUCAGAGAGGAUGGAUCGAACCUUGCGAUCGGCCGUAAACGUCGACGGGCGGAGGCGUCUUCAACCUUACAGAGCCCAGCAGCGCUUGUAGGUGCAACUGUGAUUCUUGGCUCUCCGUCGCCAAACCCCGCAGAGGGCUGCAGCAGCCUGGUUUGCCCACCCUCAGGAGCUUCGCUUGGCGAGAAAACCCUUGGUGGCGCAGCCACGAAACUGCCUUCGUCUUCUCAUGAAAAGGCCCUCGAUGUCACCGCUGGGCAAGGAGCGGCGGCCCUUCUUGGGGCCUUAUCGCCUGGUCAAGUCUCACUUCCAGGGGCGAUCUCGCCUCUCGCGGGCGAUCCGGAACCUAUGAGAGCGCCUUCCCGAGGCCUGGCUCCUUCUGCUGAAACUUUGCCUUCUCUGCUGCUAAACCCUGCAAAUCUUGACCGGGCUUCCUCUGCCUCUCUGCUUGACCUUGGGGUGCAAAUCAUGGAGCGCCUCAAGGCUUAG
RNAcentral lists this ribosomal RNA (909 nucleotides) under Triticum aestivum (bread wheat). RNAcentral describes it as "partial small subunit ribosomal RNA". Lineage: Eukaryota; Viridiplantae; Streptophyta; Magnoliopsida; Poales; Poaceae. The record is from RNAcentral.